This 502-nucleotide ribosomal RNA is filed under the name uncultured bacterium. RNAcentral's name for it is "partial 16S ribosomal RNA". It matches the Rfam family "Bacterial small subunit ribosomal RNA", at positions 30 to 523 of the family's 1533-position model. The record is from RNAcentral.
AUUGAACGCUGGCGGCAUGCCUUACACAUGCAAGUCGAACGGCAGCAUAGGAGCUUGCUCCUGAUGGCGAGUGGCGAACGGGUGAGUAAUAUAUCGGAACGUGCCCUAGAGUGGGGGAUAACUAGUCGAAAGACUAGCUAAUACCGCAUACGAACUACGGAUGAAAGUGGGGGAUCGCAAGACCUCAUGCUCCUGGAGCGGCCGAUAUCUGAUUAGCUAGUUGGUGGGGUCAAAGCUCACCAAGGCGACGAUCAGUAGCUGGUCUGCGAGGACGACCAGCCACACGGGGACUGAGACACGGCCCAGAGUCCUACGGGAGGCAGCAGUGGGGAAUUUUGGACAAUGGGGGCAACCCUGAUCCAGCAAUGCCGCGUGAGUGAAGAAGGCCUUCGGGUUGUAAAGCUCUUUUGUCAGGGAAGAAACGGUUCUGGAUAAUACCUGGGACUAAUGACGGUACCUGAAGAAUAAGCACCGGCUAACUACGUGCCAGCAGCCGCCGUAA